This 622-nucleotide ribosomal RNA is filed under the name uncultured bacterium. RNAcentral describes it as "bacterial SSU rRNA". It matches the Rfam family "Bacterial small subunit ribosomal RNA", at positions 338 to 951 of the family's 1533-position model. The record is from RNAcentral.
CCUACGGGAGGCAGCAGUGGGGAAUUUUGGACAAUGGGCGAAAGCCUGAUCCAGCAAUGCCGCGUGAGUGAAGAAGGCCUUCGGGUUGUAAAGCUCUUUUGUCAGGGAAGAAACGGUGAGAGCUAAUAUCUCUUGCUAAUGACGGUACCUGAAGAAUAAGCACCGGCUAACUACGUGCCAGCAGCCGCGGUAAUACGUAGGGUGCAAGCGUUAAUCGGAAUUACUGGGCGUAAAGCGUGCGCAGGCGGUUUUGUAAGUCUGAUGUGAAAUCCCCGGGCUCAACCUGGGAAUUGCAUUGGAGACUGCAAGGCUAGAAUCUGGCAGAGGGGGGUAGAAUUCCACGUGUAGCAGUGAAAUGCGUAGAUAUGUGGAGGAACACCGAUGGCGAAGGCAGCCCCCUGGGUCAAGAUUGACGCUCAUGCACGAAAGCGUGGGGAGCAAACAGGAUUAGGUACCCUGGUAGUCCACGCCCUAAACGAUGUCUACUAGUUGUCGGGUCUUAAUUGACUUGGUAACGCAGCUAACGCGUGAAGUAGACCGCCUGGGGAGUACGGUCGCAAGAUUAAAACCGUUAAGGAAUUGACGGCGUGAGACGAGACGACGACGACGACGAGGGAGGAGG